ACACUCCUACGGGAGGCAGCAGUGGGGAAUUUUGGACAAUGGGCGAAAGCCUGAUCCAGCAAUGCCGCGUGAGUGAAGAAGGCCUUCGGGUUGUAAAGCUCUUUUGUCAGGGAAGAAACGGUGAAAGCUAAUAUCUUUUGCUAAUGACGGUACCUGAAGAAUAAGCACCGGCUAACUACGUGCCAGCAGCCGCGGUAAUACGUAGGGUGCAAGCGUUAAUCGGAAUUACUGGGCGUAAAGCGUGCGCAGGCGGUUUUGUAAGUCUGAUGUGAAAUCCCCGGGCUCAACCUGGGAAUUGCAUUGGAGACUGCAAGGCUAGAAUCUGGCAGAGGGGGGUAGAAUUCCACGUGUAGCAGUGAAAUGCGUAGAUAUGUGGAGGAACACCGAUGGCGAAGGCAGCCCCCUGGGUCAAGAUUGACGCUCAUGCACGAAAGCGUGGGGAGCAAACAGGAUUAGAUAUCCGAGUAGUCCCAUGA
This 476-nucleotide ribosomal RNA is filed under the name uncultured organism. RNAcentral describes it as "partial 16S ribosomal RNA". It matches the Rfam family "Bacterial small subunit ribosomal RNA", at positions 333 to 800 of the family's 1533-position model. The record is from RNAcentral.